This 211-nucleotide non-coding RNA is filed under the name Methylobacterium dankookense. The record is from RNAcentral. Lineage: Bacteria; Pseudomonadati; Pseudomonadota; Alphaproteobacteria; Hyphomicrobiales; Methylobacteriaceae.
GUCAAGCUCGCGCCCGACGGUUCCCCUCGGGGAUCAAAAGGGAACGCGGUGAGGGCAGGCCUGCCAAGGAUCUGCGCGAUGCCGCGGCUGCCCCCGCAACUGUGAGCGGCGAGCCCUUCACCACCACGUCACUGGGUGUCACCACCCGGGAAGACGGUGAGAGGGCGGCGACCCGCGAGCCAGGAGACCUGCCGUCAGCCGUGGUCACACG